GCUCAGAUUGAACGCUGGCGGCAGGCUUAACACAUGCAAGUCGAGCGGAUGAAGGGAGCUUGCUCCUGGAUUCAGCGGCGGACGGGUGAGUAAUGCUUAGGAAUCUGCCUAUUAGUGGGGGACAACAGUUGGAAACGACUGCUAAUACCGCAUACGCCCUACGGGGGAAAGGAGGGGAUCUUCGGACCUUUCGCUAAUAGAUGAGCCUAAGUCAGAUUAGCUAGUUGGUGGGGUAAAGGCCUACCAAGGCGACGAUCUGUAGCGGGUCUGAGAGGAUGAUCCGCCACACUGGGACUGAGACACGGCCCAGACUCCUACGGGAGGCAGCAGUGGGGAAUAUUGGACAAUGGGGGCAACCCUGAUCCAGCCAUGCCGCGUGUGUGAAGAAGGCCUUUUGGUUGUAAAGCACUUUAAGCGAGGAGGAGGCUCUUCUAGUUAAUACCUAGGAUGAGUGGACGUUACUCGCAGAAUAAGCACCGGCUAACUCUGUGCCAGCAGCCGCGGUAAUACAGAGGGUGCGAGCGUUAAUCGGAUUUACUGGGCGUAAAGCGUACGUAGGCGGCUUUUUAAGUCGGAUGUGAAAUCCCUGAGCUUAACUUAGGAAUUGCAUUCGAUACUGGGAAGCUAGAGUAUGGGAGAGGAUGGUAGAAUUCCAGGUGUAGCGGUGAAAUGCGUAGAGAUSUGGAGGAAUACCGAUGGCGAAGGCAGCCAUCUGGCCUAAUACUGACGCUGAGGUACGAAAGCAUGGGGAGCAAACAGGAUUAGAUACCCUGGUAGUCCAUGCCGUAAACGAUGUCUACUAGCCGUUGGGGCCUUUGAGGCUUUAGUGGCGCAGCUAACGCGAUAAGUAGACCGCCUGGGGAGUACGGUCGCAAGACUAAAACUCAAAUGAAUUGACGGGGGCCCGCACAAGCGGUGGAGCAUGUGGUUUAAUUCGAUGCAACGCGAAGAACCUUACCUGGUCUUGACAUAGUAAGAACUUUCCAGAGAUGGAUUGGUGCCUUCGGGAACUUACAUACAGGUGCUGCAUGGCUGUCGUCAGCUCGUGUCGUGAGAUGUUGGGUUAAGUCCCGCAACGAGCGCAACCCUUUUCCUUAUUUGCCAGCGGGUUAAGCCGGGAACUUUAAGGAUACUGCCAGUGACAAACUGGAGGAAGGCGGGGACGACGUCAAGUCAUCAUGGCCCUUACGACCAGGGCUACACACGUGCUACAAUGGUCGGUACAAAGGGUUGCUACUCCGCGAGGAGAUGCUAAUCUCAAAAAGCCGAUCGUAGUCCGGAUCGCAGUCUGCAACUCGACUGCGUGAAGUCGGAAUCGCUAGUAAUCGCGGAUCAGAAUGCCGCGGUGAAUACGUUCCCGGGCCUUGUACACACCGCCCGUCACACCAUGGGAGUUUGUUGCACCAGAAGUAGGUAGUCUAACCGUAAGGAGGACGCUACC
RNAcentral lists this ribosomal RNA (1441 nucleotides) under Acinetobacter sp. M1T8B20. Its description in RNAcentral is "16S ribosomal RNA". It matches the Rfam family "Bacterial small subunit ribosomal RNA". The record is from RNAcentral. Lineage: Bacteria; Pseudomonadati; Pseudomonadota; Gammaproteobacteria; Moraxellales; Moraxellaceae.